RNAcentral lists this ribosomal RNA (376 nucleotides) under uncultured eukaryote. Its description in RNAcentral is "partial 18S ribosomal RNA". It matches the Rfam family "Eukaryotic small subunit ribosomal RNA", at positions 592 to 976 of the family's 1831-position model. The record is from RNAcentral.
CAAUAGCGUAUAUUAAAGUUGUUGCAGUUAAAAAGCUCGUAGUUGAAUUUUGGAUUUGUUUGCAGGGUCUCUUCGAAAGAGGAGCACUUUGUGAAUGGGUCUUGUUUGUAGUGAACCCAUGUGUCAUUUACUUGGUGUGCGGUGGAACUACAGGUUUACUUUGAAAAAAUUAGAGUGUUUAGGGCAAGCAUCGCUUGAAUACAUUAGCAUGGAAUAAUAGAAUAGGACUUUGGUUCUAUUUUGUUGGUUUCUAGGACCAAGGUAAUGAUUAAUAGGGAUAGUUGGGGGCAUUAGUAUUUCAUUGUCAGAGGUGAAAUUCUUGGAUUUAUGAAAGACUAACUUGUGCGAAAGCAUCUGUCCAGAAUGUUUUCAUUAA